GACAGAGGUGCCGAGCGUUAGGCGGAAUCACUGGGCUUAAAGCGUGUGUAGGCGGACUUCUAAGUACCUUGUGAAAUCCCACGGCUCAACCGUGGAACUGCUUGGUAUACUGGUUGUCUUGAGCCACUUAGGGGCAGUCGGAACAGACGGUGGAGCGGUGAAAUGCGUAGAUAUCGUCUGGAACGCCAAAGGUUAAAACAGACUGCUGGGAGUGUGCUGACGCUGAGACACGAAAGCCAGGGGAGCAAACGGG
RNAcentral lists this ribosomal RNA (253 nucleotides) under uncultured bacterium. Its description in RNAcentral is "partial 16S ribosomal RNA". It matches the Rfam family "Bacterial small subunit ribosomal RNA", at positions 524 to 776 of the family's 1533-position model. The record is from RNAcentral.